GUUGCGGUGAAGGGAAGCUUCCAUGGUUGAUGAGAGAAGGAGGAACUAGAAGAGGAAGACAAACGAGAUAAAUUGAGAAAGAGUGAGGGUAGGGGAUUCGAUGGGAAAAAUGGUUGGGAGAGACGAGGGGCGGCGGCAGCAGAGGCUGACAGUGCAAUCGUUGUGAAGCUGUCGACCCAUGUUGCCGAUGAUGAAGAUAUAGAAAAGUAUUUUGGAUGAAUUUCUUAUUUGAUUAUUGGAUUGCAAUAAUAUAAAUAUACAAAUUGAUAACCUAAUUGGAAAGAGUUGAAAGGGAAUUAACCACUGCACUUUUUUUCCUUUCCACACAUGGCAAU
RNAcentral lists this long non-coding RNA (335 nucleotides) under Vigna radiata. Its description in RNAcentral is "long non-coding RNA (VRAD_LNC007037)". Lineage: Eukaryota; Viridiplantae; Streptophyta; Magnoliopsida; Fabales; Fabaceae. The record is from RNAcentral.